Amborella trichopoda is the source of this 2017-nucleotide long non-coding RNA. RefSeq lists it as uncharacterized. Lineage: Eukaryota; Viridiplantae; Streptophyta; Magnoliopsida; Amborellales; Amborellaceae. The record is from RefSeq and is a predicted model, not a curated record.
UCGGAAUAGAACCUAGCCUACUCUAUCGAGCCAUGGUUCCGAGCCUUCGGCCUCUCAGAGUUAAAUAUGGAGGGGCUGUUGCAGAGACCAUUGAAAAACGCAGAAACCCUAAAAAUGGAGGCCAUUGCCUUAUUUAGCCAUAACCCUAAUUCGAGGUGUUAACGGCGUGCUCCAGAGGGCUUUUAAAACCCUAGAUUUUUUCUUCUUCUCCUUCCCUUCAAGGGCUCGCUCUGAGAAGAGGCGGCGGUUUCUCGCCUUGGCUCUUAUGCCUUUAAUGGCGGCUCAACAUUGUUGUUCGGAGACUGUGUAGGUUACGCUUAGCUGAAAUUCUAGGGUUUUAUUGUCGAGGAAGGCCUUAAAAAGUAGGUUAUCAUUGAGUUUGAGUGCUAGGUUGUCCUUUUACAGAGAAGGGUUGAGUUUCUCCCUUUAGUCAAUGCUUGCUCAGUGAAGUGCUUGAAUGUCGAUGAAGGCUUGAAAAUUAGUUUAUCAGAAGGUUGAAUGCUAAGCUUUUGAGUGUGUUUUGUCAGAGAACUGGAGCCUAUCGUCUCAGAGGAGUGUUUUUUGGUUGAAGAGAUUUGAUGUAAAGUUUUGAUGCUAAGCUUCACUUUUACAGAGAAUUUGAAGCUUUUGGUUACCAGAGAUUUAGGCAAGAGAAGGUGGUGGAAAUUUGAAGGGUAGUCUUCUUCAAAGUUUCAGACUCAGAGGCUUUAAGCUUUUCAGUACGGUAGAUUUUCAAAGCCUGAAACUGAGAAGACAGUCUCUUUCUUCUCUGAUACUUCUUUGAACUAUUGAUAUCUCUUCAAAAAUUUAUAUUAUAUGAGAAACGGAGGUCGCAUUUUUAAAUUUCGGUUUAGAGAGAGAAAGUCAGGAACACCAGUGUUUGAAGAGGCUUCAUUCUCUGCAAAAUCAAUUAGCCUCUUUAUCAUUCUAUCUUUGAUGCUUCAUCAAGAAUACAUUAGUAAUGCUCUGUAUUCUCUCUCUAUUGAAGAGAAACUCUUCGAAUCCUUGAGACUUUCUUUUGCUGAUCAAGUAACGUGAUAGGAAUACAGUUUCAGGAGCACUGAAGCUUGCUUCUUUGAUCAAUAAACGCUUUUAUCCAUCAAAAUGAAUUUGUGAAGGCUUGGUGUCAGGUAUUAAACAGGCAUUAGCAGGGAAAGCUCCGUAUUUUGGGACAUUUUUAGUGUAAGGCGCCAGAGCCUUUUUUUGUUUCUACAUUUGAAUCAAAAGCUGUAUCAAAGCUUCAAUCUCUAUUCAAUCAAACGCCAUUUCAAAGCUUUUUCACAGGAAGGAUCAGACAAUAAAAUCUUUAAAGCUUCAAUUGGAAUGUCUAAGGAGGACAUCAUGAAGCUUGCGCUGUCUCUCUGAACCAACAUUGUUGAAGUUCCGUUAACAGGCUCCAAAAGCUUCAAAAAGCAGUGGUUUCUCUGAAUCUCUGCGACAUUUUUGUGGAUUUAAACACAACAUUUGGAUCGCUUAGCUCUCAAGAAUUAGGGUUUCAGGUUCAAACUUAAGAGACGGCUAUGGAGUUUCAGAAAUUCUUAAUUUGCAGUGGAGUCUUCACGGAAGACUGAGGUUUGAAGUUUCAGCAACGAAGUGGGAAAUGGUGACUGAGAAAUUCGAGAUAAAUCACGGUUGGACCCACAAAGGAAUUGCUGAGAACUGUUAAUUAGAAGCGUUUUCAUGAAGACCCACUUUUGAGUUUUGACCCUUGGAAAAUCCAUCCGACCCUUCGUCAAACGUAAUAGUUUGAAGAGGUCCCUUUAGAAGGCCAGUGAGGCUUUGACAAUCUUAACUCAGCGAAAUCGCGGAUACUGAUCACAUGCUUUUCCUAAGGAAGUUGUAUGGUGAUAUUGGCUGAACGGCUCAAUCUUACUCUAUAUUUUCAUUCAUGAAAUUGUUGAAUAAUUGGGUUUCCUAGUAUGUCUUUUACCCAUUUUCUUUAUGACUACUUUGCAGUCUCCCGUUCUUGCUUGCUUUGAAUAAGUCAUUCUUGGUGUUAUGGUAUGUUGUCAACGUU